GCCCUUGUAGCUUAGUGGUAGAGCGUUGCACUUGUAUGCACGAUAUGCAAAGGUCAUGAGUUCAAUUCUCAUCGGGGGCA
RNAcentral lists this transfer RNA (80 nucleotides) under Pochonia chlamydosporia 170. It matches the Rfam family "tRNA". Rfam says of the family: Transfer RNA (tRNA) molecules are approximately 80 nucleotides in length. Their secondary structure includes four short double-helical elements and three loops (D, anti-codon, and T loops). Further hydrogen bonds mediate the characteristic L-shaped molecular structure. tRNAs have two regions of fundamental functional importance: the anti-codon, which is responsible for specific mRNA codon recognition, and the 3' end, to which the tRNAs corresponding amino acid is attached (by aminoacyl-tRNA synthetases). tRNAs cope with the degeneracy of the genetic code in two manners: having more than one tRNA (with a specific anti-codon) for a particular amino acid; and 'wobble' base-pairing, i.e. permitting non-standard base-pairing at the 3rd anti-codon position. Lineage: Eukaryota; Fungi; Ascomycota; Sordariomycetes; Hypocreales; Clavicipitaceae. The record is from Rfam by way of RNAcentral.